GCCCUAGUAACGGCGAGUGAAGCGGCAACAGCUCAAAUUUGAAAUCUGGCGUCUUUGGCGUCCGAGUUGUAAUUUGCAGAGGGCGCUUUGGCAUUGGCAGCGGUCCAAGUUCCUUGGAACAGGACGUCACAGAGGGUGAGAAUCCCGUACGUGGUCGCUAGCCUUUACCGUGUAAAGCCCCUUCGACGAGUCGAGUUGUUUGGGAAUGCAGCUCUAAAUGGGAGGUAAAUUUCUUCUAAAGCUAAAUACUGGCCAGAGACCGAUAGCGCACAAGUAGAGUGAUCGAAAGAUGAAAAGCACUUUGGAAAGAGAGUUAAAAAGCACGUGAAAUUGUUGAAAGGGAAGCGCUUGCAGCCAGACUUGCCUGUAGUUGCUCAUCCGGGUUUUUACCCGGUGCACUCUUCUAUAGGCAGGCCAGCAUCAGUUUGGGCGGUUGGAUAAAGGUCUCUGUCACGUACCUCCUCUCGGGGAGAACUUAUAGGGGAGACGUAAUGCAACCAGCCUGGACUGAGGUCCGCGCAUCUGCUAGGAUGCUGGCGUAAUGGCUGUAAGCGGCCCGUCUUGAAACACGGACCAAGGAGUCUAACAUCUAUGCGAGUGUUUGGGUGUCAAGCCCGAGCGCGUAAUGAAAGUGAACGGAGGUGGGAACCUUUCGGGGUGCACCAUCGACCGAUCCUGAUGUCUUCGGAUGGAUUUGAGUAAGAGCAUAGCUGUUGGGACCCGAAAGAUGGUGAACUAUGCUUGAAUAGGGUGAAGCCAGAGGAAACUCUGGUGGAGGCUCGCAGCGGUUCUGACGUGCAAAUCGAUCGUCAAAUUUGGGCAUAGGGGCGAAAGACUAAUCGAACUAUCUAGUAGCUGGUUCCUGCCGAAGUUUCCCUCAGGAUAGCAGUAACGUUUUCAGUUUUUAUGAGGUAAAGCGAAUGAUUAGAGGCCUGGGGGUUGAAACAACCUUCACCUAUUCUCAAACUUUAAAUAUGUAAGAAGUCCUUGUUACUUAAUUGAACGUGGACAGUUGAAUGUAUCGUUACUAGUGGGCCAUUUUUGGUAAGCAGAACUGGCGAUGCGGGAUGAACCGAACGCGGGGUUAAGGUGCCAGAAUAUACGCUCAUCAGACACCACAAAAGGUGUUAGUUCAUCUAGACAGCAGGACGGUGGCCAUGGAAGUCGGAAUCCGCUAAGGAGUGUGUAACAACUCACCUGCCGAAUGAACUAGCCCUGAAAAUGGAUGGCGCUCAAGCGUAUUACCCAUACCCCGCCGCUGGGGCAAGAUUUAAGCCCCAGCGAGUAGGCAGGCGUGGAGGUCCGUGACGAAGCCUG
This 1317-nucleotide ribosomal RNA is filed under the name Boeremia sp. YH-2018f. Its description in RNAcentral is "partial large subunit ribosomal RNA". It matches the Rfam family "Eukaryotic large subunit ribosomal RNA", at positions 77 to 1412 of the family's 3401-position model. Lineage: Eukaryota; Fungi; Ascomycota; Dothideomycetes; Pleosporales; Didymellaceae. The record is from RNAcentral.